GCGGGUGUGGCGGAACUGGUAGACGCACCAGAUUUAGGUUCUGGCGCCGCAAGGUGUGGGGGUUCGAGUCCCUCCACCCGCA
Molecule: transfer RNA, 82 nt
Filed under: Acuticoccus sediminis
Lineage: Bacteria; Pseudomonadati; Pseudomonadota; Alphaproteobacteria; Hyphomicrobiales; Amorphaceae
Rfam family: tRNA
About the family: Transfer RNA (tRNA) molecules are approximately 80 nucleotides in length. Their secondary structure includes four short double-helical elements and three loops (D, anti-codon, and T loops). Further hydrogen bonds mediate the characteristic L-shaped molecular structure. tRNAs have two regions of fundamental functional importance: the anti-codon, which is responsible for specific mRNA codon recognition, and the 3' end, to which the tRNAs corresponding amino acid is attached (by aminoacyl-tRNA synthetases). tRNAs cope with the degeneracy of the genetic code in two manners: having more than one tRNA (with a specific anti-codon) for a particular amino acid; and 'wobble' base-pairing, i.e. permitting non-standard base-pairing at the 3rd anti-codon position.
Source: Rfam by way of RNAcentral